CAUUUAGAGGAAGUAAAAGUCGUAACAAGGUUUCCGUAGGUGAACCUGCGGAAGGAUCAUUACUGAAUUGUCAACACGAGUUGUUGCUGGUCCCCAAAUGGGGGCAUGUGCACACUCUGUUCACACAUCCAUUCACACCUGUGCACCCCAUGUAGUUCUAUGGUUUGGGGGUCUCUGCCCUCUGCUGUGGUUCUAUAUCUUUACACACGCUCUGUAAUAAAGUCUUAUGGAAUGUAUGCAGCGUUUAACGCAAUACAAUACAACUUUCAGCAACGGAUCUCUUGGCUCUCGCAUCGAUGAAGAACGCAGCGAAAUGCGAGUGGCAUCACAGGUGUGAUAAAUAUCUACACUUGCGGUUUCCUGCCAAGUAACCUUUCAGCAAUGGAGGUUCGCUGGGGCUCAUAAACGUCUCUCCUCAGUGGGGACAGCUUUGUGAAUGUUUGAUCUCAAAUCA
Molecule: unclassified non-coding RNA, 454 nt
Filed under: uncultured fungus
Lineage: Eukaryota; Fungi
Description: sequence contains 18S rRNA gene, ITS1, 5.8S rRNA gene, ITS2, 28S rRNA gene
Rfam family: Eukaryotic small subunit ribosomal RNA (bases 1-62)
Source: RNAcentral